Molecule: ribosomal RNA, 406 nt
Filed under: uncultured bacterium
Lineage: Bacteria
Description: partial 16S ribosomal RNA
Rfam family: Bacterial small subunit ribosomal RNA
Source: RNAcentral
AUUGAACGCUGGCGGCAGGCCUAACACAUGCAAGUCGAGCGAGCGGAGGACGGGUGAGUAAUGUCUGGGAAACCGUCUGAUGGAGGGGGAUAACUACUGGAAACGGUAGCUAAUACCGCACACACUCAGAUGUGCCCAGAGGGGAUUAGCUAGUAGGUGGGGUAACGGCUAACCUAGGCGACGAUCACUAGCUGGGCUGAGAGGUUGACCAGCCACACUGGAACUGAGACACGGUCCAGACUCCUACGGGAGGCAGCAGUGGGGAAUAUUGCACAAUGGGCGAAAGCCUGAUGCAGCCAUGCCGCGUGUGUGAAGAAGGCCUUCGGGUUGUAAAGCACUUUCAGCGGGGAGGCGUUACCCGCAGAGGAAGCACCGGCUAACUCCGUGCCAGCAGCCGCGGUAAUAC